AGUGAUCAGCAAAAGUAGAAUGCAUCAGCUUGGAACAUCCAGAGGCGCUGGAGUGACCUGGAAUGCACUGCACUCCAGAGCUGGAGCACACUUAGUCUGAUGUUUCUGAGCUGCUCUUACGCUGUUGAGCUGUGAACUGCUCGUUAAGUCUGACUCAUUUUUACAGCAAUUAUAUCUUGGCCGUAGAAAGACUGAGAAAUGCGCUUUGAUCCCAGCGCUUGGGAACUAAUAAAUGAUGAAAACGCCGGACUAUGCUGAGCAAUGUGCCCUGAACGCAGCAGCAAACGAGGACAUUUAGAGGACAGAGCGUCACCGCUGCAAUUUACUUCGCUACAAGUGCCCUCUAUUGGUGAAAUAAUUAUAGUCCCAAUGAUUUGACUCCUAUCGUCUUGACUAGACUUGACUAUUAUUUCUCCGAAUUACUUCCUGACACCUGCUGCUUCGGUUAUGCUGUGAAACAAAUUGCAUGCUACAAUCACGUUACAAACAACGGGAAAAUUACGUCAUAUCCGGAAAUUACCCGCAUUAAGAACGCUAUUCAAUCUCAGGUAAACUACAAAGGAGCCAAUGGGACCUUUCGUCCUUCCGCGCUACUCAUUAUCGUGAUUGCAUCGUGGUUCAUCUGUCUCUAAUGACGGCCAUUUGUGCAGCACAAGCGAUGUGUUUAUUACGCUCCUGCCUGAACAGAUUUUCGUACAGAGUCAGGUAUAACCCUCACCUGUGUGGGAACAAUCCUGGUGUUUCGUGACAUCACAGUUUUCCGGUCCAAUCACACUGACCGAGAGAUCUACUACCUGUCAUCACCGUGGAAACGCUGAUAGAGUGGGAAGAGAGCAGAGGGCGAGAAUAUUUCCUGCACCACACCUCUGACCCCACCCCUGGGACCAGCAUCACUGCUCUGACUGGUCAGACCAAAGGGUCACUGGAAGCAGGGUGACAGAACAGGUCAUCCAUUUUGAGCGGGGAGGAAAUGGCCCUGCGCUUGCCCGCAGCGAGCGGGGAGGAAAUGGCCCUGCGCUUGCCCGCAGCGAGGCCUGCGGUGGGUUUCCCUUCAGCUCAUUACAGCCGCGGAAUGAGAAAUCAGAGGCACGGCGCUCACAUUAAUCAGCUGAGCCCCGGCCAGGGCUCACACUGCAGCACGAGGCCACAGAGAGUCACUGUGCUUAUGAUCGCUGCUAUACAUAACACUGCAUUGCACUGCAGUACAUUACAUUAUGUGCACUUAGCACAAGCGCGUAUCUUAUAGACUAAUGCACAGCAGUGGAGAACAUCAGUGCUACUCUCAGGAAUAUAAGAAGUGCCGUAUCGCCAAGCAGGCACGGUAGACCCAUUUAUAAUCAAUAAGUGUAAUGUUAACUGAACAAAGCAACAAUUUGUGUUGCAGCAAAAAGGAAAUAUUUCUAUUAUGGAAAACGGAGAAAAACAAAGUGCAGUGAAUGAGGGUCUUGGGAGUCUGUGUGCAGUCUGGGGAGUUGAGGUGCAGUCUGGGGAGUCUGUGUGCAGUCUGGGGAGUCUGUGUGCAGUCUGGGGAGUUGAGGUGCAGUCUGGGGAGUUGGGGUGCGGUCUGGGGAGUCGGGGUGCAGUCUGGGGAGUUGGGGUGCGGUCUGCGGUGUAAUGCACAAAAUGCAGUGUUGUUAUUGUCCAAACUGCAUUGAAUAGCACAUCCCUUGUAUCAUUAACUGUUUAAUAUUAUAAAGGAAUUUAAUUUUUCUUAAUCUUCUUGAAGUGACAACUCUAGCACUAGACCUAAAAGUUGUUUCAAAGACUGAUGGUAAAAUAUUGUUUUCUGAAUUUCAGAAAAAUGUCCCAGAAAUUUCCCCAGAAAAUGAGUGAUGAGGGGCACAAUUUGUCCCCUGAAAUGUUUUAUUUCCUUCGCUGUGUGGAAUGGCGUCCGAGUUUAAUCUGAAACGGGAUUGAGUUGGGGGGGUGCGUUCAUUAGGACCGCAGCCUGCUGGAAACGGACGUCGCGCGCGCUCAUGCCUCCGACUCCAGACGGGAGCGGAGAUGCAGCGUUCCGCGGGCGAAUGCCCCGCGAGAGGGGGGGGGGGGUGCUGAUGAGGAGCGGGGGUAAAAUUAGGACCCUUCCUCUCGGCCCCCCUGCCGCGAUGGCGCAGCGGCGGUCCGUCCCGCGCGGCGGCGGCGGCGGCGCUCUCCGCGGGGUUUCAUCCGCGCGGUAAAGGCCAUUAAACAGCCAAUUAAAACUCACUAAUUAAGGAGUGAGCACGGCGAGCGGGCUGCCUCGGCCCCGCCCACAGGCGCCAGCGGGGCCCUGAUUGAGAGCGGAACAGCGGUACAGACGGAAAGUUCUGAGCCCUGUGAGAGAGUAGAGUUAGCGGAUAAUGAGUUAGCGGAGUUAGCGGAUGAUGAGUGUGAGCAGUUGAACGCCGCCUCGGGCAGGGCCGGAGUUUAUUAGUCUCCUGCCUCGCUCUUCCGCCAUCUCAUGAUGUGUGAUCCGCUCGCUGAUUGGCUGAACACUGAUGGUUUUUGGAGGGGGGGGGGGGUGAUGGGGACACCGUGCUGAAUGUAGCGGGAUGGAAACACAAAGGAGAGGCUGGCUCAUUUCCAUGAGUCUCAACUUCUCCUUUUCAAUACUGCAGGAAAGAGCUGAGCUCUGAAGUGCUUUUCAAUUCUUUAAAAUGUAGAUGGAUGAGCAUAAUGGUGUUAUUCCAGCCUAUUUAAUUCUGUCUGUUAGUCUGUAAUAAAGUACAGAGGUGUAACAGCAUCUGGGUUUGAGUGUGAUGU
Molecule: long non-coding RNA, 2742 nt
Organism: Anguilla rostrata (American eel)
Lineage: Eukaryota; Metazoa; Chordata; Actinopteri; Anguilliformes; Anguillidae
Exons: 4
Source: RefSeq, a predicted model, not a curated record